AGCUUGAAAAUGACGGAAUACAGUAUUUAACGAAUGACGACGAAGCAGUUGGUGUGCUUCUCAAGUCUUCGAACUCUGUAAUCGAACUGACUCCAAUUACAACUGAUCCAGGCGGUAUUAACUUUUCAUUAGUGGCUGAAAAUAAGAAUGAACCAAUCGGAAUAAUUGCAAUUGUGCUGAGCUGGAAAAACUUAACCACUUCGUCAUCUGGUAACAAACUUACGAAUUAUUUUAUUGCAAGCGAUUUGGUCUCCAUAGUUGUAUAUAAUGCUGAUGGCAAUUAUAUUCCGAAAGUGAAUACAACAAUUUUAUAUCCUGCAAUACGGCAUACACUUCCUGAAAAUAAUGAUAUAUUGUGGCCAGUCUGUGUGUUUAUCAACGAAACAUCAUCCCCACCGCAAUGGUCGACUGAAGGCUGUGAUACAAGACAUGAUGAUGUUACGCAGGGCGUAACUUGCUUGAGCAAUCACU
Anneissia japonica is the source of this 471-nucleotide long non-coding RNA. RefSeq lists it as uncharacterized. The transcript is spliced from 6 exons. The record is from RefSeq and is a predicted model, not a curated record. NCBI's taxonomy places the organism in Eukaryota, Metazoa, Echinodermata, Crinoidea, Comatulida, Comatulidae.